AGUGACCAUUAAUCCAGACACCACUUGUGGCAAUGGCUGGGUCUGUGAACAUAGAUGGCAUCAAAUAAGGGGGGAAUGUCCCCUUCAGUUCUUAUCUAAUAAGGAAGUUGUUUAAUCUUUUAUUUUAAACUGUUGAAUUAAAGGGUACUAGCAUUUCACCUGAUUCUGUGCUUUUAGGAACAUGGUAGCUUUCAGGAAUGUAGUCAAUGGUCAGCCUUUUUCAAACCGGGGAUAAUGGCAGCAACCAAGUGGCUUUUGGCAGAGGAAACAGAGGAUUCAUUAUCAUUAACAAUGAUGACUGGGCUUUGUCAAGCACUCUACAGACUGGUCUUCCUGCUGGCACAUACUGUGAUGUCAUUUCAGGAGAUAAAGUCAAUGGCAAUUGCACUGGACUUAAAGUAAAUGUUGGCAGUGAUGGCAAAGCUCACUUCUGUAUUAGUAACUCUGCUGAAGACCCUUUCAUUGCAAUCCAUGCCGACUCAAAGUUGUAAGAGUCAAAUUAAAGACAUGAAAAAGCAC
This 519-nucleotide long non-coding RNA is filed under the name Rattus norvegicus (Norway rat). Its description in RNAcentral is "long non-coding RNA NONRATT016831". Lineage: Eukaryota; Metazoa; Chordata; Mammalia; Rodentia; Muridae. The record is from RNAcentral.